This 500-nucleotide ribosomal RNA is filed under the name uncultured bacterium. RNAcentral's name for it is "partial 16S ribosomal RNA". It matches the Rfam family "Bacterial small subunit ribosomal RNA", at positions 30 to 523 of the family's 1533-position model. The record is from RNAcentral.
AUUGAACGCUGGCGGAAUGCUUUACACAUGCAAGUCGAACGGCAGCACGGACUUCGGUCUGGUGGCGAGUGGCGAACGGGCGAGUAAUGUAUCGGAACGUGCCCAGUCGUGGGGGAUAACGUAGUGAAAAUUACGCUAAUACCGCAUACGAUCUAUGGAUGAAAGCGGGGGAUCGCAAGACCUCGCGCGAUUGGAGCGGCCGAUAUCAGAUUAGGUAGUUGGUGGGGUAAAGGCCCACCAAGCCAACGGUCUGUAGCUGGUCUGAGGGGACGACCAGCCACACUGGAACUGAGACACGGUCCAGACUCCUACGGGAGGCAGCAGUGGGGAAUUUUGGACAAUGGGCGAAAGCCUGAUCCAGCCAUUCCGCGUGCAGGAUGAAGGCCCUCGGGUUGUAAACUGCUUUUGUACAGAACGAAAAGGUUUCUACUAAUACUAGGAGCUCAUGACGGUACUGUAAGAAUAAGCACCGGCUAACUACGUGCCAGCAGCCGCAGUAA